AACUGAAGAGUUUGAUCAUGGCUCAGAUUGAACGCUGGCGGCAGGCUUAACACAUGCAAGUCGAGCGGGGGAAGGUAGCUUGCUACCGGACCUAGCGGCGGACGGGUGAGUAAUGCUUAGGAAUCUGCCUAUUAGUGGGGGACAACAUCUCGAAAGGGAUGCUAAUACCGCAUACGUCCUACGGGAGAAAGCAGGGGAUCUUCGGACCUUGCGCUAAUAGAUGAGCCUAAGUCGGAUUAGCUAGUUGGUGGGGUAAAGGYCUACCAAGGCGACGAUCUGUAGCGGGUCUGAGAGGAUGAUCCGCCACACUGGGACUGAGACACGGCCCAGACUCCUACGGGAGGCAGCAGUGGGGAAUAUUGGACAAUGGGGGGAACCCUGAUCCAGCCAUGCCGCGUGUGUGAAGAAGGCCUUAUGGUUGUAAAGCACUUUAAGCGAGGAGGAGGCUACUCUAGUUAAUACCUAGAGAUAGUGGACGUUACUCGCAGAAUAAGCACCGGCUAACUCUGUGCCAGCAGCCGCGGUAAUACAGAGGGUGCGAGCGUUAAUCGGAUUUACUGGGCGUAAAGCGUGCGUAGGCGGCUUAUUAAGUCGGAUGUGAAAUCCCCGAGCUUAACUUGGGAAUUGCAUUCGAUACUGGUGAGCUAGAGUAUGGGAGAGGAUGGUAGAAUUCCAGGUGUAGCGGUGAAAUGCGUAGAGAUCUGGAGGAAUACCGAUGGCGAAGGCAGCCAUCUGGCCUAAUACUGACGCUGAGGUACGAAAGCAUGGGGAGCAAACAGGAUUAGAUACCCUGGUAGUCCAUGCCGUAAACGAUGUCUACUAGCCGUUGGGGCCUUUGAGGCUUUAGUGGCGCAGCUAACGCGAUAAGUAGACCGCCUGGGG
This 882-nucleotide ribosomal RNA is filed under the name Acinetobacter baumannii. RNAcentral's name for it is "bacterial SSU rRNA". It matches the Rfam family "Bacterial small subunit ribosomal RNA", at positions 1 to 878 of the family's 1533-position model. The record is from RNAcentral. Lineage: Bacteria; Pseudomonadati; Pseudomonadota; Gammaproteobacteria; Moraxellales; Moraxellaceae.